CCUGCCUACGGGGGGCAGCAGUGAGGAAUAUUGGUCAAUGGUCGGGAGACUGAACCAGCCAAGCCGCGUGAGGGAGGAUGGUACAGAGUAUCGUAAACCUCUUUUUUCAGGGAACAAAGACUGGGACGCGUCCCCGGAUGAGUGUACCUGAAGAAAAAGCAUCGGCUAACUCCGUGCCAGCAGCCGCGGUAAUACGGAGGAUGCGAGCGUUAUCCGGAUUUAUUGGGUUUAAAGGGUGCGUAGGCGGACAGUCAAGUCAGCGGUAAAAAUGCGGUGCUCAACGCCGUACAGCCGUUGAAACUGGG
RNAcentral lists this ribosomal RNA (305 nucleotides) under uncultured bacterium. RNAcentral's name for it is "bacterial SSU rRNA". It matches the Rfam family "Bacterial small subunit ribosomal RNA", at positions 334 to 637 of the family's 1533-position model. The record is from RNAcentral.